This is a small nucleolar RNA of Erigeron canadensis, 107 nucleotides long. RefSeq annotates it as small nucleolar RNA Z107/R87. The record is from RefSeq and is a predicted model, not a curated record. The transcript has a single exon. Lineage: Eukaryota; Viridiplantae; Streptophyta; Magnoliopsida; Asterales; Asteraceae.
GAUGGCAAUGAAGACUUAGGAAAAUUCAAGCUCAACAGACCGGAAUGCAAUCUUAUCUCUCAGAGAUUUGUUUUGCGGUGUCGAUAUUCCCGCUGAACUGAGCUAUC